GGAGGGUAGAGCUCAGUGGUAGAGUGCAUGCUUAGCAUGCAUGAGGUCCUGGGUUCAAUCCCCAGUACCCCCA
Molecule: transfer RNA, 73 nt
Filed under: Vicugna pacos (alpaca)
Lineage: Eukaryota; Metazoa; Chordata; Mammalia; Artiodactyla; Camelidae
Description: tRNA-Ala (AGC) (tRNA-Ala-AGC-808-1)
Rfam family: tRNA
About the family: Transfer RNA (tRNA) molecules are approximately 80 nucleotides in length. Their secondary structure includes four short double-helical elements and three loops (D, anti-codon, and T loops).
Source: RNAcentral